AGUGAAAGGCCACUCCGAGAUGCAAAAGUGCAUUGGAACCCUCGACUAUUUGAUAAGUUGAGUUGGGGUAUGAAUUGGAAUUGAAGUGAGAUAGUUUCGAGGAUGAAACUCUGUUAAGGAGGGGAGGAUGUAAGGUACCGGACUUCUAAAAUCAUGAAGUUACAGUGUACAUUUGGUUUGAAAGCCAUUUGAAUGGUUCCGAUGAGGUUGCGGUGGAGAAUGUAACAUACCAGAUUUUAGUAUAAAAAUAAAAAUAAAUAAAAAUAGUGUGAGAUACUAUUUUUAUUGGAUUUAGAGGAGUAAAACAUAAGUCAGAAGUGACUUGUGCUGAAUUCGGAAUGAAAAAAGAAGAUCUAGAAUUUUCUGUUGGAAACGGGACAGAUAAAUUAGCAGAAAAUGCACAGUGUCAGAAAAUUAUGAAAACUGGAGGAUAAGUCAGAAUUAUUUUUAUGAGGCUAGAUUUAAAGUUUCAUGUCAUUCUGACACCCGGAAGGUGGAAAAUAAAAUCCGACAGUUAUCUGAUUAAGAUUACAAUUCGGCAAGAUCAAACGGGGUCGAAACUGAGAACUUAAGACAUAUUCUUACUCAGUAUGUUAAACCGAGCCUGCCUGUCAAAUUUUAGCGCAAACGGACGUUCAGAAGGGCUCCAACGACUCCGAACUGCUAAACUGCUGCCCGAGGUG
RNAcentral lists this long non-coding RNA (683 nucleotides) under Ananas comosus (pineapple). RNAcentral describes it as "long non-coding RNA (ACOM_LNC026863)". Lineage: Eukaryota; Viridiplantae; Streptophyta; Magnoliopsida; Poales; Bromeliaceae. The record is from RNAcentral.